UGGCAUGCAAGUCGAACGAGGGUGCACUCUUCGGAGUGUAUAUCGAGUGGCGAAAGGGUGAGUAACGCAUAGAUGACAUACCUUUAGGAUAAGAGCAGCUUUGUGAAAACGGAGUUAAUGCUUAAUAAUUACGAACAGAAAUCAAUUUCGUUCGUCAAAGGUGGGCAGCAAUGCCUUCCGCCUGAAGAGUGGUUUAUGUCCUAUCAGCUUGUUGGUGGGGUAAUGGCCUACCAAGGCUAAGACGGGUAGCCGGCCUUAGAGGGUUGUCGGCCACACUGGGACUGAGACACUGCCCAGACUCCUACGGGAGGCUGCAGUCGAGAAUCUUUCGCAAUGCCCGAAAGGGUGACGAAGCGACGCCGCGUGAGCGAAGAAGGCCCUAGGGUUGUAAAGCUCUGUCAGGGGUUAUGAAAUGUAGAUGGGAUAAUACCUCAUUUAUUUGACAAAGGCCCCAAAGGAAGCCACGGCUAACUCUGUGCCAGCAGCCGCGGUAAUACAGAGGUGGCGAGCGUUGUUCGGUAUUAUUGGGCGUAAAGAGCACGUAGGUGGUUUUGUAAGUCAGGUGUGAAAGCCUUCUAUUCAAAGGAAGAACGGCAUCUGAAACUACAGAUCUUGAGUGUAGGAGGGGAGAGUGGAACUUCUGGUGGAGCGGUGAAAUGCGUAGAUAUCAGAAGGAACGUCGGCGGCGAAAGCGACUCUCUGGCCUAUUACUGACACUGAGUGUGCGAAAGUUAGGGGAGCAAACGGGAUUAGAUACCCCGGUAGUCCUAACCGUAAACGAUGGGCACUAAGUAGAGGGGUUUU
Molecule: ribosomal RNA, 804 nt
Filed under: uncultured Candidatus Scalindua sp.
Lineage: Bacteria; Pseudomonadati; Planctomycetota; Candidatus Brocadiia; Candidatus Brocadiales; Candidatus Scalinduaceae
Description: bacterial SSU rRNA
Rfam family: Bacterial small subunit ribosomal RNA
Source: RNAcentral